CCAUUAGAUCGUUCUCAUAUUUUGACACAAGAUUAAGACGGAUGUUAGCUUUCACAUGCAAGUGAUAGUCCGGAAAUCUAACGGUGCAUUCAAGAGGUAUACCUAAUUUUGUGAAGACAAGUCAUUCUGGCGAGCAAUUGAAGUAGUUGUAGAUAUUGAAAGCAGAGAAGGUCAGACCGAUCGUUCCACUUGGAGACCGAUCGGUCCACUUUCAUCUGGACGAGAAAAACGUGGCAGAACAAUCGGUCCAUCACCUGGAUCGAUCGGUCCACUUCCCAUACGCAUUUUUUACACAGAUUUGACCCAAAACAUUACAGAGCUUAACCGACUUGUCUCCUAUUGUCUUUAUAUCCUAAGCUCGACUUUUCAGAGACUAUCUACAUAUCUUUCAUACAGUUCUAAACAUUGUUUUUUGCUUUCUAAACAAUUUGGGGGAGAAGAAUCCGUCCUUUUGACAGUUGGAGAAGAAAUCUAAACCCUAUUCUCAUUUUAAUCUAUUGAAUCAUGUUUUAUUUCAUGUCUAUUCUUUUUGUUUCAAUUGAUAUGUUGAGUAGUUCUUAAUUGGGUUUUAGGGUGCUUAGU
This 582-nucleotide long non-coding RNA is filed under the name Capsella grandiflora. Its description in RNAcentral is "long non-coding RNA (CGRA_LNC000279)". The record is from RNAcentral. Lineage: Eukaryota; Viridiplantae; Streptophyta; Magnoliopsida; Brassicales; Brassicaceae.